RNAcentral lists this ribosomal RNA (297 nucleotides) under uncultured bacterium. RNAcentral's name for it is "partial 16S ribosomal RNA". It matches the Rfam family "Bacterial small subunit ribosomal RNA", at positions 775 to 1067 of the family's 1533-position model. The record is from RNAcentral.
GGAUUAGAUACCCUGGUAGUCCCAGCCGUAAACGUUGUGUACUUGGUGUGGGAGGAAUUAUCCCCUUCCGCGCCGGAGCUAACGCGUUAAGUACACCGCCUGGGGAGUACGGUCGCAAGACUAAAACUCAAAGGAAUUGACGGGGGCCCGCACAAGCGGUGGAGCAUGUGGCUUAAUUCGAUGCAACGCGAAGAACCUUACCUGGGCUUGACAUGCCCGUCGUACUUUCCCGAAAGGGAGAGGUCAGCUCGGCUGGACGGUGCACAGGUGCUGCAUGGCUGUCGUCAGCUCGUGCCG